AUUGAACGCUGGCGGCAGGCUUAACACAUGCAAGUCGAACGAGUGGCGGACGGGUGAGUAAUGCUUGGGAACUGCCCGAUAGAGGGGGAUAACUACUGGAAACGGUAGCUAAUACCGCAUACUAUCGGAUAACCCAUAUGGGAUUAGCUCGUUGGUGAGGUAAUGGCUCACCAAGGCGACGAUCCCUAGCUGGUCUGAGAGGAUGAUAACCCACACUGGGACUGAGACACGGCCCAGACGCCUACGGAGGCAGCAGUGGGAAAUAUUGCACAAUGGGCGCAAGCCUGAUGCAGCCAUGCCGCGUGUAUGAAGAAGGCCUUCGGGUUUUAAAGUACUUUCAGUCGGGAGGCGUUACCGACAGAAGAAGCACCGGCUAACUCCGUGCCAGCCGCCGCGGUAAUAC
This 403-nucleotide ribosomal RNA is filed under the name uncultured bacterium. RNAcentral's name for it is "partial 16S ribosomal RNA". It matches the Rfam family "Bacterial small subunit ribosomal RNA", at positions 30 to 526 of the family's 1533-position model. The record is from RNAcentral.